CUGCAGCCAAGUAAGCCGACUAGCUUCCUUUUUCAUUGGAACCUGGUAUGCAAAGCCACAAACAGUAGCUUCUCUUGGAUGUAUACAGCCAGUGGCAUGGAUGAGUUACCAUAAGACACUUGGACCAGCA
Small nucleolar RNA from Mastomys coucha (southern multimammate mouse), 130 nucleotides. RefSeq annotates it as small nucleolar RNA SNORA70. The record is from RefSeq and is a predicted model, not a curated record. The transcript has a single exon. NCBI's taxonomy places the organism in Eukaryota, Metazoa, Chordata, Mammalia, Rodentia, Muridae.